RNAcentral lists this ribosomal RNA (253 nucleotides) under uncultured bacterium. RNAcentral describes it as "partial 16S ribosomal RNA". It matches the Rfam family "Bacterial small subunit ribosomal RNA", at positions 524 to 776 of the family's 1533-position model. The record is from RNAcentral.
UACGAAGGGGGCUAGCGUUGCUCGGAAUUACUGGGCGUAAAGCGCACGUAGGCGGCUUUCUAAGUCGGGGGUGAAAUCCUGGGGCUCAACCUCAGAAUUGCCUCCGAUACUGGCAGUCUCGAGUGCGGGAGAGGUGAGUGGAAUUCCCAGUGUAGAGGUGAAAUUCGUAGAUAUUGGGAAGAACACCAGUGGCGAAGGCGGCUCACUGGCCCGUAACUGACGCUGAGGUGCGAAAGCGUGGGGAGCAAACAGG